RNAcentral lists this ribosomal RNA (637 nucleotides) under Oenococcus oeni. RNAcentral's name for it is "bacterial SSU rRNA". It matches the Rfam family "Bacterial small subunit ribosomal RNA", at positions 580 to 1216 of the family's 1533-position model. Lineage: Bacteria; Bacillati; Bacillota; Bacilli; Lactobacillales; Lactobacillaceae. The record is from RNAcentral.
UUAUUAAGUCUGAUGUGAAAUCCCGAGGCCCAACCUCGGAACUGCAUUGGAAACUGAUUUACUUGAGUGCGAUAGAGGCAAGUGGAACUCCAUGUGUAGCGGUGAAAUGCGUAGAUAUGUGGAAGAACACCAGUGGCGAAAGCGGCUUGCUAGAUCGUAACUGACGUUGAGGCUCGAAAGUAUGGGUAGCAAACGGGAUUAGAUACCCCGGUAGUCCAUACCGUAAACGAUGGGUGCUAGUUGUUAAGAGGUUUCCGCCUCCUAGUGACGUAGCAAACGCAUUAAGCACCCCGCCUGAGGAGUACGGCCGCAAGGCUAAAACUUAAAGGAAUUGACGGGGACCUGCACAAGCGGUGGAGCAUGUGGUUUAAUUCGAAGAUACGCGAAAAACCUUACCAGGUCUUGACAUACCAAUGAUCGCUUUUGUAAUGAAAGCUUUUCUUCGGAACAUUGGAUACAGGUGGUGCAUGGUCGUCGUCAGCUCGUGUCGUGAGAUGUUGGGUUAAGUCCCGCAACGAGCGCAACCCUUGUUAUUAGUUGCCAGCAUUUAGUUGGGCACUCUAAUGAGACUGCCGGUGAUAAACCGGAGGAAGGUGGGGACGACGUCAGAUCAUCAUGCCCCUUAUGACCUGGGCAA